GAUGAACGCUAGCGGUGUGCCUAAUGCAUGCAAGUCGAACGGGAUCUUUUGGAUUCGUCUGAAGGUGAGAGUGGCGAACGGGUGAGUAACACGUAGGUGACCUGCCCCGGAGAGGGGGACAACCACUGGAAACGGUGGCUAAUACCCCAGAUGUUAUUGCGCUUAGAAAGCAAUUACUAAAGUUCCGGCGCUCCGGGAGGGGCCUGCGGCCCAUCAGCUUGUUGGUAAGGUAAUGGCUUACCAAGGCUAAGACGGGUAGGGGGCGUGAGAGCGUGACCCCCCACACUGGUACUGAGACACGGACCAGAUACCUGCGGGUAGCAGCAGCAAGGAAUAUUGCCCAAUGGACGAAAGUCUGAGGCAGCAACACCGCGUGGAGGAUGAAGGCCUUCGGUGUAACUCCUUUCUGGGGAGAGAAGGACGGUACCCACGGAAUAAGUACUCGGCUAACUACGUGCCAGCAGCCGCGGU
This 471-nucleotide ribosomal RNA is filed under the name uncultured bacterium. Its description in RNAcentral is "bacterial SSU rRNA". It matches the Rfam family "Bacterial small subunit ribosomal RNA", at positions 28 to 521 of the family's 1533-position model. The record is from RNAcentral.